Triticum dicoccoides is the source of this 979-nucleotide long non-coding RNA. RefSeq lists it as uncharacterized. Lineage: Eukaryota; Viridiplantae; Streptophyta; Magnoliopsida; Poales; Poaceae. The record is from RefSeq and is a predicted model, not a curated record. The transcript is spliced from 3 exons.
UCCCCCUCCUACACCUGGAUGUUAGUCGCCGCUUCAGACACCUGUGCAUUUAUCCAACAAUCAGAGGAAAAAACACCAUCGUCUCUUACCUCUCCCUACUCAGCUUCUAAUCCCCAUUCUCCAACCAUGGCAGGCGCUCACCUUCUCGCCCCUUCCCCUCCACCUCCAAGCGCCUCACCCAGCGGUUCCUCAACAGCCCGCAGUUGUCGCUCAAGUUGCUUCCGCUUCUCUCCUCCUGCCUCCCCCCUUGAUGCCGUCCGCCGCCGACCGGACCUGGAUGAACGAGCACGUCCUCAACGCCAAGCAGGCGCAGUGCUCUAGCAGUCUGGCCUCCUCGGCGUCGACGCAGUCUGCAUCCAUCUAGUACUGCAUCCACCAAGAGUUCUAAAGAACAGAGGAAGAUUCCUGUGCUUGGAGUUGAGUCAUGUGAUUGUUCAGAUUUUUAAAGACAUAUAUUGCGUAGGAGGUUGAGGGACAUGAGGUCCGGCAGUGAGCUUAAAGCUCUGUUGCUAUUCAACGGUCUUAGGAAUCUCUUCAAAUAAACAUAUGAGGUAUAUGUUCUGCCCCUCUCGAUAUGCUUAGCAGAAUAAUUAAUUUGUGAUGAUCCUGUUUUCCUAUUGUCUAAUCUUGGAGUAAGUUUCUCUUGAAUAUAUGUGAUCUGUUUUAUCACUUUGUGGUACUCUUUAAUCUCUUUGGUUAAUAUAAACAUGGUUGUGCAAUUAUGAUUGAAAUCACAUCAACAGAAUGUCUACGCCUAAUUAUUAUUGGAAUUACCUUAACACUUGUUUCACAAUACAUAGCAAUCUUGCGGCUACUCCUGAACCCAAAACCGGCCAUCCACUUGAUUACCUGUAUCAAACCAUGGCGGGAAGUUGUUGAUUUUGUCAAAAGUAGCAAUCAAAGGCAUGCCUGGCUACCCCGAUGAACGCCAAGGGGUUCAGAGAUAUGGGGAUGCAGACCAUGUCCAUCACCAGGUGCC